GUGCUCGCUUCGGCAGCACAUAUACUAAAAUUGAA
This 35-nucleotide small nuclear RNA is filed under the name Cervus elaphus hippelaphus. Lineage: Eukaryota; Metazoa; Chordata; Mammalia; Artiodactyla; Cervidae. The record is from RNAcentral.